RNAcentral lists this long non-coding RNA (3170 nucleotides) under Heterocephalus glaber (naked mole-rat). Its description in RNAcentral is "lncRNA (ENSHGLG00100044447.1)". Lineage: Eukaryota; Metazoa; Chordata; Mammalia; Rodentia; Bathyergidae. The record is from RNAcentral.
AGGAAGGGCAGGGAAAUGGGAGGGAAAAAAAGAAAUUUCAUGUGGUUGCCUUGCUUUGGUAUCAAAUUGAAGAAAUCAUUAUCAAGUUCAAUAUAAAGCUUUUGCUUUUUGUUUUCUUCAAAGAAAUGUGGCUUGUUUUUAAGUCUUUGAAUUUGGGUUCAUUUUUGCAUGUAGUGCUAAGUAAAGGUUGAACUUCAGUCUUUUGCAUGUGGAAAACAGUUUUUCAAUUGUUGAAAAAAUUAUCCCUUCUUCACUGAAUUCCUAUGGAACUUUUGUAAAAAAUUAUUUAACCACAAAUGUAAGAGCUUAUUUCUGUGUUCUGUUGUCUAUUUAAUCUGUAUGUCCAUAUUUAUAUCUUGUAUCACAUCAAUUUGAUUACUGUAGCAUUAUAGUAUGUUUUGAAUUUAGAAAUUGUGUGUCCUCCAGUAUCAUUUCUCUUUUUUGACAUUGUUUGAGAUAUUUAGUUUUCUUUGAGAUUCCAUAUGUAAGGAGACAUUUCCUCCAGGAGCAGAUUUAGAGUAAUAUCAGUAUUCACUGAACUACCAAAUGUUGGUUCAGUUAAGUGAGCACUUAUUUUGGGGCAUAAAGGAUGGAGGCCUGAGCUGAGUUUUGCUACCAGCCUCAACUAUAAACAGAGGUGAAGAAAUACUUGGAGAUAAAAGUUCAAAGUUAUCUAGGUCCUCCUGGGUUUAUGAGAUAUUUCCACAUAUCACCUGGAAUGAUGGACAUAAAUUUAUACUGCACCCAAAUGUUGAGUGGUACCCUUCAAUCUUCUACAACAGAGGUUAUUGGAGUUUUUUCCUUCCUGGAAGAGGGAGAUAUUCCUUAUUUCACCAUCAAAAACACAGAUUUAGUGUCCAUGGUGUGACUCAUGUGUCUCACAAAUUGCUAGUGCCAAUUCACAACAAUACACAACUGAGUCAAGUACAACUCUUCAAUUAAUUAAAACUUCAUACCAAAAUAAAUACCAAUGAUACCCACCACAAAGAGCUGUCCUUUGUGGUUUCAUCUGUCUUGCCAAGUUAUGGUAUAUUUCCUGAUGUGUGUACACAUCAGGAGCCUAGACAGGGUUGCAUAUGUAAUUAGUCUUUAAAUGUUAAUAUGUUGGUUAGCUUAUCCCAUAGCAAAAUCCCACACUUUUGAUAUUUUCUGUUAUGUCAUAAAGACACAAGUAGAACUGGAAUGAGAAAUUACAUUCAACUUCACUUAUGAAUCAGACACAGAACUGAGCAACUGAAAUAAAAGCCAUACACUCUUAUUUCACACAGUGAAACUUUGAUACUAAUCUUUGUUAACAUGAGAAGAUGUACUUGUUAUCACACAUGUACCAGAAAGUGACUUGAUCAUAGCAAAACCUUAAGGACAUUUGAGUUUGUGGAAUUUGAGAAGCUCUGGAUACAAAUAUCCCAUCAAGUGACAAAUUCAUAUGGCAGGGAAAAGAAGCUGCAUUGGAUGGGGCAAAAAAUCAUUAGUUGAAAACACUUUCCUGGAUUUCCUUUCCACUAAGGGAGUGAUACCACACCAGUGAGAAGCAGGCAAUCUCCCCAGAGGCUGCAGUCCUCCCCACAAAGUGACAAAGCCAGGGAAAGGAAGAGUGGUGCUGUUCCCCUUCCUCCUGCCUUGUGAGUGGCCUUCAUGCUUACACUUCUUGCUGAAAUAGUGAGGCAGGGGAUGCUAGUUAAAUUUCCAGUUAAAGAGGAAUGAUAAAUGGAAAUUCACUGAGGCACCCAUCAUCAUUCAUGUGAAACAAGCAAAAUAAUUUAUCAUUUCUGUUUGGUGUUCUGUUUGUGUUGUUCAAGUCUAGUAAACCUAAAGAAAUAAGAUAUUUCAUAAGUUUAUAUACAACACGAAAGUCUACCAAGUGCUUCCAUUAAUUCUGUAUCAGGUUUUAAGUUAUUCAAUGUCAAAUAAUUCUCUCUUGGAUGUUUUUAGGAACCUAAAUCUUGUUGGGGAAGAAAGAUUAUGUUAUAAUCCUCUGAGAUUUGGAGUCCAGCAUUAUAAUCACUCCAACAAUCAGUCUUAUAAGAACUGGUUCUGGUCUCCUUGAAGCUUUUGGAUUUGGGGUGUAACCAAGUCAGUAACUGGAUAGAACUAAUGCCUCCAACACUGCUAUUCACCCCACAGUGUCCUUAACUCUUUGUUGUUCAGUCAAAUCCUAGUGUUGUACACCCAAGGUGAGUUAUGGAGGAUUAAUUACAGUCCUGAGAAUCUAAGCAGGAGAUGGCAGCUCAGCUGUCCUGAUCCCUGGAUGACUCUUUUCAUGGAUUCAGCCUUAGUUAAACUUAGCAUUUACUGUUGGUAAUACAUAAGUGUGGACAGAAUACAUUUCUAAGUGACUCCCUUUAAGAAAUUUGGAUAUAUCUUUGUAAAUAUUAAUAUCUAUCAAAACCAAUAUGCUUUCUAAAAUUCAGACAAUGAAUAGAAAAAGGUGGUAUCUCUCUUUGAAUAAAAAGCAAAUACAUUUAAAUCAUACACCCAAUGUGGGUAAAAGAAAUUUAUCAGAAGGGAAAAAACGAUCAGCUCUACUUAGACUACCUGUUCCAGAACUACAUUAGUUUCUUAUUCAGAAAUGUACUUGAUUAGCUUAGGUACUAUUCAUUACACCAGAGCUACCAAUACCUUUGCUACCCAGUUCAGAAGAAAGGGCAUAGAUCAGAUGUCAGUGGAUAAAGUAAAUCAUUACCCUCACUUUAAUAGUUAAAAUUUAAGAAAGAAAAUGAACACAGUAUUGCUUUCCCCACAAACAGAUGAACAUGUUACAAAUGACAUGGUAAUUUCAAGGAGAGUUACAGUUGUUUUUUUUGUUUGUUUGCUUUUUUAUUCUAAGAGUUGGCUCAAUGCUUCAUUACUGAAAAAGUGUAAUCAGGCAAGACCUUCCCAUCUGAGCUCUGCUGUGGUCUGGGAGUUGCUAAUGACUAUCUGACAGCUUGUCACAGACCUUGGAUUUUCCCCUGGUGUCUCUGGUUGGUUUUCCUCCUUUUUGGCAGUGGUUAAGGUGCAGAUUGCCAAGAGACACCGUACUCAGGAUGUUGAGGAUUCUGUUUCCAGCAAGCCUUCUUUUACUAUCCUUUUCUAUAUUACAACUCUGUUCCAGUUCUCCUUAGAAUUUUCAUACUAGUACAGUUUUAAUUUGCAUUUGUUUGUUAUAUCACUUUGCAUGACUCUCUUCU